GGUCCCGUGGUGUAGUGGUUAACAUGCCAGUCUGUCACACUGGAGAUCGCGGAUUCAAAUUCCGUCGGGACCGCCA
This 76-nucleotide transfer RNA is filed under the name Acholeplasmataceae bacterium. Its description in RNAcentral is "tRNA-Asp". It matches the Rfam family "tRNA". Rfam says of the family: Transfer RNA (tRNA) molecules are approximately 80 nucleotides in length. Their secondary structure includes four short double-helical elements and three loops (D, anti-codon, and T loops). The record is from RNAcentral. RNAcentral also lists the same sequence under 1 other name. Lineage: Bacteria; Bacillati; Mycoplasmatota; Mollicutes; Acholeplasmatales; Acholeplasmataceae.